RNAcentral lists this ribosomal RNA (253 nucleotides) under uncultured bacterium. Its description in RNAcentral is "partial 16S ribosomal RNA". It matches the Rfam family "Bacterial small subunit ribosomal RNA", at positions 524 to 776 of the family's 1533-position model. RNAcentral also lists the same sequence under 1 other name. The record is from RNAcentral.
GACGAACCGUGCGAACGUUGUUCGGAAUCACUGGGCUUAAAGGGCGCGUAGGCGGGCAUUCAAGUCAGGGGUGAAAUCCCCCAGCUCAACUGGGGAACUGCCUUUGAUACUGGGUGCCUCGAGUAAGGUAGGGGCAUGCGGAACUGAUGGUGGAGCGGUGAAAUGUGUUGAUAUCAUCAGGAACUCCGGUGGCGAAGGCGGCAUGCUGGACCUUCACUGACGCUGAGGCGCGAAAGCCAGGGGAGCGAACGGG